This is a long non-coding RNA of Anolis carolinensis (green anole), 2779 nucleotides long. RefSeq lists it as uncharacterized. NCBI's taxonomy places the organism in Eukaryota, Metazoa, Chordata, Lepidosauria, Squamata, Anolidae. The record is from RefSeq and is a predicted model, not a curated record. The transcript is spliced from 3 exons.
CGGGCCGGCAGAAUGUUGGAUAAGUGAAUAUGUUGGAUAAUAAGGAGGGAUUAAAGAAAAGCCUAUUAAACAUCAAAUUAGGUUAUGAUUUUACAAAUUAAGCACCAAAACAUCAUGUUAUACAACAAAUUUGACAGAAAAAGUAGUUCAAUAUGCAGUAAUGUUAUGUUGUAAUUACCGUAUUUACGAAUUUAGCACCAAAAUAUCACAAUGUAUUGAAAACAUUGACUACAAAAAUGUGUUGGAUAAUCCAGAAAAUUGGAUAAGCGAGUGUUGGAUAAGUGAGACUCUACUGUACUAAAAAUUGACUAAAAUAAAGAUAGAAUUGCAUAAAAUGAACUUACAGUAACAACCUUGUCAGAAGUUAAGUUCAGUCCUUGCUGCCUAGAGAAACAACUGUGGAUGAGAGGGGGAGGCAGACUGCGUUGGAUAAUCCAGAAGGUUGGAUAAGUGAAAGUUGGAUAAGUGAGACUCUACUGUACAACUUCAGGCUACACAGCAGAAGUGAGUGCUGGCAAUCUCAAGAUUAGAAGCAUUAAACAUUCCAACCACAAAGGCUUUUUUAUCUCUUUAUAGACCCAUAAUCCAAAAUAUACAGUUAGUACACUAUCUGUCUGUCUGUCUGUCUAUCUGUCUAUCUAUCUAUCUAAUAUGGUCUCUCCUUCUACUUACAGUAUUCUCUUUCAUGGUACCUUCAGUUCUAAAGCAGUAUUUGACACACUGGCUCACAGAAUCAGACCAAACACCUUCACACACCAAAGUCUCUCUCAUGGUUGCUUGCUUAAUUUCCUUUAACCAAAUCACCUGCUGCAGCCUAUUCUUUAUUGCUUACAGGUGCCAUUCAUUAGUUACUCUGUGACUGACUCAGACUUGAGUGUGAACUUCCAAACUUGGGCCCUCCCUCCAGGUGUUUUGGACCUCUCAGCCACUUAAGUGGAAAGGAAAGGAAGGGACCUGAGGCUGCAAGGAAUGGUGGGAGUUUAAGUCCAAAACACCUGGAGGGAGGGCCCAAGUUGGCCCAUGCCUGGUCUAGGUAGUGAAUGUAGUUGCUUCAUUCUUCCAUGCCCUUUUUCUCUCUACGCCCCCUAAAAAGCCAUAAAGGUUUAAAGUUAUCCAUUGAGGCCGGAGUGUCCAGCUCAUUCCCAUGGAUGCCACAUCAGCCUUAACCAGCCAAGGGUUGCCUUCAAAGGGCUGUUGCUUCUAUGGAUAAUUUGUGGAUAUCGAGGGAAACUAUAACACUAGUUAAGAAAAUUUGGGGGAAAAAGUUCCUGGUUUGAAUGUGUUAUUUCCUGUUUCAUUGCAUGGUCCUGUCUUUGAAAGUGGUUGUUUUACUGCAGAAACUUUGUUUUCAUGCCAGAAACUAUGUUGCAUUGGUUGAAACACUAUGAGGUAUUCAUUGAAAAGUUAUUGCAACAUGUGCUGCAGAAUGUCCCUCCUGCAAAGACAGUUUUUGCAACUUUCCCCUUGUUUUUAUGAUCGAACCAAUUAGGAAAUGACAUUUAUCACCCUGGAACAAAAAUCACGUUGCAUAAUGUAAUUUUUGUUUACAUAGUUAUUGGUGCUUUUUAGUUUUCACCCAAUUUGGGUCCCCAGAUGUUAUUGACCAAGAACUCCCAUCCCUUUUGAUUAUCUGCCAUACAGACUGGGGAUGAUGGGAAUUGUGACCCAGCAGCACUUGUGGCUCUGAGAUUGGGGAAAGAUCAAAGGAUAUUUUAAAGUCAGACAUCAUAGACAAAGGCCUUGUAUUUAAAUUCAAAUCCCACUCCCCUGGUCAAGCCGUAUGCCAACCAACCCACAUCAGCUCUAGUCAGGAUGUCUAAUAAUGACUAAGACAGGAGUUGUAGUCCAGAAAAGCUCCUUCUUUGGAGGCUUUUAAGCAGAGGCUGGAUGGCCAUCUGUCGGGGGUGCUUUGAAUGCGAUUUCCUGCUUCUUGGCAGGGGGUUGGACUGGAUGGCUCAUGAGGUCUCUUCCAACUUUACUAUUCUAUGAUUCUAUGACCUUGAAGGGCCAUGUAAAAUGGCACGGAGGGUCUGAUUUGGCCUGUGGGCCUUGAGUUUGGCACAUGUGCGUUAAGAUAACAGGUUUUUUUUUUCAGAGUUCAGUACUGACCAGGAUGACAUGAGCCUUAGACUGCAGGUCUCCUCCUUGGCCCAGGUGGCUGACCUUUACUUCCUUGUUGUCAUCUUACAAAAUUACUGAUUUUGAUUUUUGCCCACAAAAGAACACAGAACACCAGAGACAUGCUGAUACAUUCGGAUAUAGUAGAUUACCAUUCUCAUACUAUUAAAGUCAAAUCCUACUUGGUAGGAAAUUUGGCACACCAACAUUGCUAGAUACGUCUGCCAUUUAUUCAAACAAAGGUACCAAACUGUUACAACGCAAAUGCUUUUGGAUUUCUGCCCUUCAAACUAUAUACCUGAAUGGUGUAAAUGACACCAAUUCAUACCAAUGUUUCUUGUAAGCCCUGAUGCAUAGCUCUUUAAAUACUUCAGUACUUUUAUCACCUGCUAUACCUGUUUCAAGCAUCUUUUGUGGAGCAACAUUAACAUCACCCCUUUAAAUGCUCUACUUUAUGUAGGAGCUUCUACCUGCUGGCCAUGUGCUUGCUAUGGAAUCCAACGAAUGCAGAGCAUCAUUUAGGAGAACUUGAGGUGAAAGACUUGUAGCACCACAAUCACUGAGGUCUGAAAUGACGAAGAUCAUUCAUUCAGGACACACAGGAGCAGAGGAGUGAAUUUUGUUGCUGUGUCUCGGGAUCAAUGAUAGGAAAAAGCGCAAU